GACGAACGCUGGCGGCGUGCUUAACACAUGCAAGUCGAGCGGUAAGGCCCUUUCGGGGGUACACGAGCGGCGAACGGGUGAGUAACACGUGGGUGACCUGCCCUCAGCUCUGGGAUAAGCCCGGGAAACUGGGUCUAAUACCGGAUAUGACUCCACGGUGCAUGUCGUGGGGUGGAAAGCCUUGUGCGGCUGAGGAUGGGCCCGCGGCCUAUCAGCUUGUUGGUGGGGUGAUGGCCUACCAAGGCGACGACGGGUAGCCGGCCUGAGAGGGCGACCGGCCACACUGGGACUGAGACACGGCCCAGACUCCUACGGGAGGCAGCAGUGGGGAAUAUUGGACAAUGGGCGCAAGCCUGAUCCAGCCAUGCCGCGUGAGUGAUGAAGGCCUUAGGGUUGUAAAGCUCUUUCAGUGGGGAAGAUAAUGACGUACCCACAGAAGAAGCCCCGGCUAACUUCGUGCCAGCAGCCGCCGU
Molecule: ribosomal RNA, 473 nt
Filed under: uncultured bacterium
Lineage: Bacteria
Description: bacterial SSU rRNA
Rfam family: Bacterial small subunit ribosomal RNA
Source: RNAcentral